Molecule: long non-coding RNA, 320 nt
Filed under: Mytilus galloprovincialis (Mediterranean mussel)
Lineage: Eukaryota; Metazoa; Mollusca; Bivalvia; Mytilida; Mytilidae
Source: RNAcentral
CAAAAUAUACAUCAAAUGAUUGUCAGUAAUGUUAUAACCCGCAUAUAUCCUCUACUGAACUACUAUAUCCAUCAAACUCGUAUAUUCCCUUAAAUCCAAAUAAUAGCAUUGCGAAUAGUCACUCUUUGUAGCACUAUAUGUAAUCCUUUACUCUACCAAAGUUCGCUCUCCGGCUUUUUCGUAACGGUAUUCCCGGCCUUUAUAUACCAAUCCUCGUCGGAUCCAUGGACGGAUCUCCUGACGGAUCUCCCGACGGAUCUCUUGGGCUCCGACUGGAUGUUCAAUAAAAGAAAAUACGCAACAAUACCCCUUUCCAGGAC